Molecule: ribosomal RNA, 301 nt
Filed under: uncultured bacterium
Lineage: Bacteria
Description: partial 16S ribosomal RNA
Rfam family: Bacterial small subunit ribosomal RNA
Source: RNAcentral
CAGCAGCCGCGGGAAUACGAAGGGGGCUAGCGUUGUUCGGAAUCACUGGGCGUAAAGGGUGCGUAGGCGGGAUCUUAAGUCAGGGGUGAAAUCCCGAGGCUCAACCUCGGAACUGCCUUUGAUACUGGGGUCCUUGAGUCCGGAAGAGGUGAGUGGAACUGCGAGUGUAGAGGUGAAAUUCGUAGAUAUUCGCAAGAACACCGGUGGCGGAGGCGGCUCACUGGUCCGGAACUGACGCUGAGGCACGACAGCGUGGGGAGCAAACAGGAUUAGAUACCCCGGUAGUCCCUGUCUCUUAUAA